GAUGUAGCAAUACAUGGCGAACUGCUCAGUAACACGUGGACAACCUACCCUCAGAUCUGGGAUAAACCUGGGAAACUGGGUAUAAUACCGGAUAAUCCUUGGAUGCUGGAAUGCACCGAGGAUCAAAGUUCCGACGUCUGAGGAUGGGUCUGCGGCCUAUCAGGGUAGUAGUGGGUGUAAAGUACCUACUAGCCUACGACGGGUACGGGUUGUGAGAGCAAGAGCCCGGAGAUGGAUUCUGAGACACGAAUCCAGGCCCUAUGGGGCGCAGCAGGCGAGAAAACUUUGCAAUGUGCGAAAGCACGACAAGGUUAAUCCGAGUGGUUUCUGCUAAAGAAACCUUUUGCUAGUCCUAGAAACACUAGUGAAUAAGGGGUGGGCAAGUUCUGGUGUCAGCCGCCGCGGUAAAACCAGCACCUCAAGUGGUCAGGAUGAUUAUUGGGCCUAAAGCAUCCGUAGCUCGUUUUGUAAGUUUUCGGUUAAAUCCAUACGCUUAACGUAUGGGCUGCCGGGAAUACUGCAUAACUAGGAAGUGGGAGAGGUAGACGGUACUCGGUAGGAAGGGGUAAAAUCCUUUGAUCUAUUGAUGACCACCUGUGG
Molecule: ribosomal RNA, 600 nt
Filed under: uncultured archaeon
Lineage: Archaea
Description: bacterial SSU rRNA
Rfam family: Archaeal small subunit ribosomal RNA
Source: RNAcentral